UUAAGUUCAGCGCGUAUUCCUACCUGAUCCGAGGUCAACCUUGAGAAAAAAAGAUUCCCGAUGAACGGGAAAGGACCGGGUCCCGGGCGCCCUCGUCCGAUACGUGCUCAGUUAAGAAGCUCAGUGUACCGGGGGUUCCACAGGCCGCCGUCAUUGUCUUUAGGAGGGGUUCAUUGCCGAACCAAAAAAACCGUCCAACA
RNAcentral lists this unclassified non-coding RNA (200 nucleotides) under Cladophialophora sp. RNAcentral describes it as "partial internal transcribed spacer 2". The record is from RNAcentral. Lineage: Eukaryota; Fungi; Ascomycota; Eurotiomycetes; Chaetothyriales; Herpotrichiellaceae.